This is a non-coding RNA of 337 nucleotides. It matches the Rfam family "Archaeal RNase P". From Rfam's summary of the family: Ribonuclease P (RNase P) is a ubiquitous endoribonuclease, found in archaea, bacteria and eukarya as well as chloroplasts and mitochondria. Its best characterised activity is the generation of mature 5'-ends of tRNAs by cleaving the 5'-leader elements of precursor-tRNAs. Cellular RNase Ps are ribonucleoproteins. The record is from Rfam.
GAGAGGGAGAGUGUGGCUGACGGUGGCGUAAGCUGCUGAGGAAAGUCCUCCCACCGACCGGAUGCGCAGCCGUAUGCAAGUAUGGGUGGCGAGAGUCACGGCAAUGGCACAGAAACGAUACGGCCUUCCCUGAGCGAUGAUACGGCCGAGCCUCUUGGCGAGACGGAUGCCCUGCAUCCUAUUAACCCGCUGAGCAGAUGACGGGAAGGAUACGAUGAAACGGUGAAUCCCUGCGGGUGCAAGUCAGAACAGGGCGCGUGGAGAGUCCGGUCUCUGCCCGGGUAUGACGCAUAGCUGAAUGCCACAAUGAACAGAAGGAGGCUUACUCCUCCCACUC